CCUACGGGUGGCAGCAGUGGGGAAUAAUGCACAAUGGGGGAAACCCUGAUGGUGCGACGCCGCGUGAAGGAAGACGGGUAUCGGAUUGUAAAAUUCUGGUCUUGGGGAAGAAAAAUGACGGUAGAGAAAGAGCAAGCGACGGCUAACGAAGUGCCAGCAGCCGCGGUAAUAUGUAGGUGGCAAGCUGUGUACGGAAUUAAUGCGUGUAAAGUGAGCGCAGGCGGGAAGCCAAGUCAGCUGUGAAAACGACGGGCUUAACUUGUAGACUGCACUUGAUACUGGUUUACUUGAGUGAAGUAGAGGUUGCCGGAAUUCGGAGUGUAGCAGUGAAAUGCGUAGAUAUUCGGAGGAACACCGGUGGCGAAGGCGGCCAACUGGGCUUUAACUGACGCUGAGGCUCGAAAGUCUGGGGAGCGAACGGGAUUAGAUACCCUAGUAGUC
This 441-nucleotide ribosomal RNA is filed under the name uncultured bacterium. Its description in RNAcentral is "partial 16S ribosomal RNA". It matches the Rfam family "Bacterial small subunit ribosomal RNA", at positions 338 to 795 of the family's 1533-position model. The record is from RNAcentral.